Long non-coding RNA from Engraulis encrasicolus (European anchovy), 255 nucleotides. RefSeq lists it as uncharacterized. The transcript is spliced from 3 exons. The record is from RefSeq and is a predicted model, not a curated record. Lineage: Eukaryota; Metazoa; Chordata; Actinopteri; Clupeiformes; Engraulidae.
GGUUGCCUACGGUGCUCAACCUUUACCUGUUUCUACUGGUGGCUUCCUGGUAGGCUGCCACAGUUCUACUUGCGUUAUUCACUCCGACUGCCCACGGCACUCAACCUUUACCUGCUCCUACUAGUGACCUCGUAGUAGGUGGCCUUGGUCCUACUUGCGUUAUUCAUCAUCCAUACUCGGACUGUUCAGCCUUACUUGUUGCUUGGUGGCUUCAUAGUACGCUGCCCAUCUCGACCAGUGUCCUCGUUGUACUCA